Long non-coding RNA from Lagenorhynchus albirostris (white-beaked dolphin), 2096 nucleotides. RefSeq lists it as uncharacterized. The transcript is spliced from 3 exons. The record is from RefSeq and is a predicted model, not a curated record. Lineage: Eukaryota; Metazoa; Chordata; Mammalia; Artiodactyla; Delphinidae.
ACUGCAAGUCGCCGGGAUGGACGUAAAGCCUCAGCUCAGGUGGGACCGGAGGCUGUCAAGAGCAAGCAGAGCCCUCCAUCCUGGCGGUGGAGAUGGAGGGGAAUCUACAGCACAGCAUGAGGCCUGAGCAGCUCAAAGUCGGCCAGCCUGGGACCCUGGUGGGAGGGGAGAACGAAGGGAGCACGAAGCUGAGCGAGGCUGCAGGCGGGCCCGAGGGAGGGGCGUGUGCGCGCUCUGGGGCCGGCCACGUGCAGGAGGCAGAGCGGCUCAGGACGAGUUGUAAGUGGCUCAGUCCAGACUGGCGGUGUGUGUCUGUCCCUCCCAGGGUCAGUGUGAAAACCCUGCAGCAGCAGUGUGCGGGGCGCGGGGGCGGGAACCACUGCCGGUUCCUCCCGCGGCGGCAACUGGACCUGCGUGUCCGGCCUGGGAAGGGUCCAGGGAGCCCGUCGGUCCUGUGCUCAAGCCCCGCCCCGUAACGUGCGACCUGCCGGGCUUGGAGGGGGCGAGGACGGGAACGGCGGGCGUGGGGAACCGUGAAAUCGCCCUGGAGGUGACUCCGAGAGCCCAGAGGGCCCAGGCUCGGGGAACGAGCUCAGGCUGAGAAGGACAGGCCGCCGCCGAACGAAUCCACUCACCCACCCCCAGCGGGACGCUCACAGCACUGUAAAGUCAAAACACUGUAAGUGGAAGCAUGGAAAUUAUGGAACCGUCUGUAACUAAGAGAAAGUAAGUGAAACAACAGAUGCAGGAAGGGCAGGGGGUUUGCGGAGCCCCAGGAGAGGAGCAAGAGAUACUGGCGCAUAGGUAGGUUAGAUCCUGAAAGCACUUGUCUGCCACGUGAACAAUACCCCGAGGAAGCAGAUGGAAGUUAAGAAGGUGAGAGGCCUGGUAAGAUUCACCUUUUAUACACAGCUCUGUUGGCAGCUCAGAGGAGAGCAUGUGGUUUCUUUUAGGAUCCAUCAGGGAAGGUGUAAAUAGGGAACCAGAACUUGGGGUACAGACUGUACCUGACACCACUCCGGAAACAGGGCUUCACAGAGCAGAGGAGCGCCAAUGAGUGAAGGGGAUAAUUUCAGAACAAAUAAAAUUUUGCCAUUUAAAAUACCAUUCAAGUAAUUGGACCAGCGGCAAAGCGUUACCUGGUAGCUUGUUUUUUUGAGGUGCUCACCAUGUGCCAGGCACCAUGCUGAAUUUUAGCUGUUUUCUCCUUUAGUGCCCACAAAAGCCCUGAAACUGUUUCUGCUUUGCAGACAAGGAGACGAUGGUGAAACUACUAAACCUGAGCUCCUGAGCACUAACCAGCUUGUGGGGAGACAGCGUCCGACCACCGUGUGGCUCACCCCCUUUGUUGUACAGAUGAGCAGACCGAAGAAACGAGGGUCAUGGACUCAUAAUAAUUGGUGGUGUUAGAAUUCGAACAGUCGUAACCUGCCAGGCAUUCCUCCUGCUACACCACGCUACCCUGUGUGGAGACUCAUUCAUUUGUUCACCUCAUAACAGUGUACUAACACUGUCACACUGCGCUCACUCUGGAACCGGCAACUGCACUAAGCAGUUUAGAGAUACUGACUCAUUUGAUCCUCACCACAACGCUUUUCUCCAAUUUCUAUUUGAGGACACAGGCACAGAGAAGUUAUGACUUGCCGGGCACCAAAUACCUAUUGGAACAGACCCUGUUCCAAAGGAGAGAGAUACAGCCGUGAACAAAACACAGCCCUGCCCCAGAGAGCUUACAUGCUAGACAUGGGAAGUUCUUGUAGAUCAUAAAGGCCAGGGGGCUGGAAAAAUAAAGCAGGGCAGGGGGACAGAGUAGAUGCCCUUGGAGGUCUGUAUGAAAAGAAAGGGCAGGUUAUACUUGCUAAUAAUUUAAAUAAACUUUGCAGCCCAACUCGCCUAAAGAUCUUCAUGACGCACACUGAAUACAGUGAGUGCAAACUCUCAUUUUUUAUUGUCCUGUGGCUACAUCAGAACCCUUGAGCCUGAGGUACCGAGAUCAGGAAGAUGGUUUUCCGAAUGCCAGGCGUUCAGAGCUGGCAGACUGUGGACACCGCAGAAGCCCCUUGUCCCUUUCAUCGUUAACCUAAUAAAUAUUAAUA